Molecule: ribosomal RNA, 786 nt
Filed under: Leifsonia sp. AaM53a
Lineage: Bacteria; Bacillati; Actinomycetota; Actinomycetes; Micrococcales; Microbacteriaceae
Description: bacterial SSU rRNA
Rfam family: Bacterial small subunit ribosomal RNA
Source: RNAcentral
GUGCUUAACACAUGCAAGUCGAACGAUGAACCAGGAGCUUGCUCUUGGGAAUUAGUGGCGAACGGGUGAGUAACACGUGAGUAACCUGCCCUUGACUCUGGGAUAACCUCCGGAAACGGAAGCUAAUACCGGAUACGACGUACGGAGGCAUCUCCUGUACGUGGAAAGAACUUCGGUCAAGGAUGGACUCGCGGCCUAUCAGGUAGUUGGUGAGGUAACGGCUCACCAAGCCUACGACGGGUAGCCGGCCUGAGAGGGUGACCGGCCACACUGGGACUGAGACACGGCCCAGACUCCUACGGGAGGCAGCAGUGGGGAAUAUUGCACAAUGGGCGCAAGCCUGAUGCAGCAACGCCGCGUGAGGGAUGACGGCCUUCGGGUUGUAAACCUCUUUUAGUAGGGAAGAAGCGAAAGUGACGGUACCUGCAGAAAAAGCACCGGCUAACUACGUGCCAGCAGCCGCGGUAAUACGUAGGGUGCGAGCGUUGUCCGGAAUUAUUGGGCGUAAAGAGCUCGUAGGCGGUCUGUCGCGUCUGCUGUGAAAACCCGAGGCUCAACCUCGGGCCUGCAGUGGGUACGGGCAGACUAGAGUGCGGUAGGGGAGAAUGGAAUUCCUGGUGUAGCGGUGGAAUGCGCAGAUAUCAGGAGGAACACCGAUGGCGAAGGCAGUUCUCUGGGCCGUAACUGACGCUGAGGAGCGAAAGCGUUGGGAGCGACCAGGAUUAGAUACCCUGGUAUUCCACGCCGUAAACGUUGGGCGCUAAAUGUGGGGACCAUUCCACGGUU